AGCCCCGUGGUGUAAUAACAUGUUGGAUUGCAAAUCCAAAGACGUAGGCUAAUUGCCUGCCGGGGCUU
RNAcentral lists this transfer RNA (68 nucleotides) under Hoplisoma panda (panda corydoras). Its description in RNAcentral is "Corydoras panda (panda corydoras) tRNA-Cys". It matches the Rfam family "tRNA". Rfam says of the family: Transfer RNA (tRNA) molecules are approximately 80 nucleotides in length. Their secondary structure includes four short double-helical elements and three loops (D, anti-codon, and T loops). The record is from RNAcentral. Lineage: Eukaryota; Metazoa; Chordata; Actinopteri; Siluriformes; Callichthyidae.